GUCCUGUGGUGUUGAGUUGUCAUUUUAAUGUUAUAUUUCACAUGGCUAUAAAAGAGGGAGGUUUGGCAUGCCACAAAACCAGGUUCAACCCACCAUUUUUUCUUUAAAAAUGUCCUGUACCAAGUCAGGAAUAUGGCCAUUGUUAUAUUAUAGUUCGUUUCUGUGUGUGUUACAUUUUAACGUUGCGUCGUUUGUUUUCUCUUAUUUUUG
This 210-nucleotide long non-coding RNA is filed under the name Mytilus galloprovincialis (Mediterranean mussel). Lineage: Eukaryota; Metazoa; Mollusca; Bivalvia; Mytilida; Mytilidae. The record is from RNAcentral.